This is a long non-coding RNA of Mauremys mutica (yellowpond turtle), 480 nucleotides long. RefSeq lists it as uncharacterized. The record is from RefSeq and is a predicted model, not a curated record. The transcript has 4 exons. Lineage: Eukaryota; Metazoa; Chordata; Testudines; Geoemydidae.
UCAGGAAUGGGAUCCACUGGUGGAGUCAUGUCUUGGAAUGAAGGAGCAUGGAGACUAAAUUCCCCUGUCCACGAGGAGGGGCUGGUCUUCGAUACAAGGCUAGGGAGUGGACCCUGUGGGAAUGCUGUGGCCCCAGUUCGCAAUCAAGAGACGAUCCCAUGACGUGCAUCGUGUCAGAGGUGUGCACAGCAAAGAAAAGACUCUGACUACCACUGACAGAACAAGUCCUCCGAGGCCCGUUCAAAGUUGGAAUUCGCAACUUCCUCCUCAACUGGGCAUCAGCCGGCUCCGGAUGGGGACUCUAUCCAGAGGCAGUCAAGUUGCUGUGGAAAGGCUGUCUUGAGCUUAGUGGUCUAGUUUAAAACAAAGCUGAGGGUGUCUGGGAUUUGAAGACGCAGCCUCUCAUGAUCUCCCACCCUGUGUGAUUACUGCCCCGGAGCGGAUCCAGACAAGCGGAGGCGGAGUGCUCCAUCCAGGGCU